GUGCAUAACUAAUAAACCUUUACUAACAAUUAACCAUAAAUCCCUGAAUUAUAUUUUUUCCCUUUUUUUUGAGCAGGGAAUAGCUAAAAAAGAUCUAGCACUUGCUGCAAUGAAAGAGCAAUGUGUGACAUCCUGCCAUAAGCCAAGCCUCCUACAUAGACUGCGCUAAAGAAAAAGACGAUAAUCAAAAUUCAGAAUACUGCAAACAAAAUGAUAUACCAAGGAGCAUCCCAAACAAAAGAUGGAAUCAUCAUAACAAAACAGAAACUAUCAAGAGCCUUGCUAUUAGCAAGUGAUUCAAAUCCCAUGAGACGAACCAUCCUGUUUUUCUAUGGAGAAGCGCGCACACUCCAUUCCAAGACUUCAGUCCUGGCACAGACAAUGGUGGAACAACCCAUCCGGACACUAGGAAUGAUGCCCCAUUCCGACUUCCCACAGGAAAUCCCAUCAGAAUUUGAAUCAUUGGUAGAAAGAUAAAAAUUUGACCAUAUAGGAAGAAAAAGUACUUCAUCCUACGAUGUUCCCAAACAAUCAAAACCAGAAUUUUCCAGGAUUUUACCUCAUCCAACAACCAAAUGUACUCAAGAAACAAUCAACCAGAAAAUUAUGCAGACCAAACAAGUUGGUAGAGCCCUUAAUCCCUCUUGAAUAAUGUAAGUAACUACAGUACAAGCACCUUCCAUAAGAACAAACAAACUGGUCUGUGAAAUUCAUUCCACCAACAAAACUGAAAUGCUUCGUGUUGCUGCUAUUUAUAUGGUAGAGACCCCCC
Molecule: long non-coding RNA, 772 nt
Filed under: Phoenix dactylifera (date palm)
Lineage: Eukaryota; Viridiplantae; Streptophyta; Magnoliopsida; Arecales; Arecaceae
Description: long non-coding RNA (PDAC_LNC018257)
Source: RNAcentral